Zophobas morio is the source of this 318-nucleotide long non-coding RNA. RefSeq lists it as uncharacterized. The record is from RefSeq and is a predicted model, not a curated record. The transcript has 3 exons. Lineage: Eukaryota; Metazoa; Arthropoda; Insecta; Coleoptera; Tenebrionidae.
CCUUACUACCUUCGCUUUUAAAUAUACAAUCAUGAUCGUACCUGCGAGGAAGCAACUUUUUUCGGUAAAUUUUUUUUCUCUGACAUUUGUUAGGCACAGCACGGAUAUUAAAGUAGCACGAAAAUAUUGCGACUCGACCUAUCCCACUUCAUAUUAUUCACGUUUUGUGUACAGUGACGGCUCCUCAGUUCUACUUAAAACUUUUAUUUCUCGUAACGCAAUUCCUCUAGUUUCGGAUAUUAAAAACCAAAGGCCCUGGGUUUCCUCAGAAAUUUUCACGGAAAAGUCUACACAAAAAGGGUCGGAGACUUUUUCGAA